UUGCAGAAUUCCGCGAAUCAUCGAGUUUUUGAACGCAAGUUGCGCCCGAGGCUUGACCAAGGGCAUCUCUGCCAGAGCGUCACCG
This 85-nucleotide ribosomal RNA is filed under the name Syrrhopodon revolutus. Its description in RNAcentral is "partial 5.8S ribosomal RNA". It matches the Rfam family "5.8S ribosomal RNA", at positions 72 to 154 of the family's 154-position model. Rfam says of the family: 5.8S ribosomal RNA (5.8S rRNA) is a component of the large subunit of the eukaryotic ribosome. Lineage: Eukaryota; Viridiplantae; Streptophyta; Bryopsida; Dicranales; Calymperaceae. The record is from RNAcentral.